CGGCGAGUGAACCGGGAAGAGCCCAGCACCGAAGCCUGUGUCCACUUGGUCACUAGGCAAUGUGGUGUUCAGGUCGUUCCGCAGAGGCACUGCUCCACCCUAAGUCCAGCAAUGAGUACGGUGGUAUGGACAUGGCCCAUAGAGGGUGAAAGGCCCGUAGGGGUGGAGUUCCGGCAUGUCAGUGCCUCUCUGGGUAGACCUUGGAGUCGGGUUGUUUGUGAAUGCAGCCCAAAGUGGGUGGUAAACUCCAUCCAAGGCUAAAUACUUGCACGAGUCCGAUAGCGAACAAGUACCGUGAGGGAAAGUUGAAAAGUACUUUGAAGAGAGGGUAAACAGCACGUGAAACCGCUCAGAGGUAAACGGGUGGAGUUGAACUGCAAGCACCGAGAAUUCAAACGGUGAGUGUGGCUUAGACUUGGUUAAAUCGGUUGAGCCCGGUAGUCUGCGCGAUAGCGGGCCUUCGCCUCUCAGGUGAAGGUGCACGAUGCACUCAUCAGGUGUUGUGCGCUGCCGGUGCUCUUCGGACCGACUUGCCGUUGCACUUUCUCGGUGUGAUCACCACGACCGGCACUGCUGUCUGGCUGACAUGGUCAAACCGGCCUUGCGUUGUCCUUGUGGCUUUGCUUGACCGGGAUGGCAGGUAGCUCGUUGGCUUGCUUGUGGCUUGCUACAAGCGCUCGGCCUUCGAGUGUAAUUAGCUGUCCAUGUCGGUACUGUGCAGUGUGUCGGAGACGGCGGCUUGUGGUGUGUGCGUGCGUGCUAGUUUGGUCGGCGGGCCUGAAUUGGAUUGCAUAGUUGCCUGUUUACGCAGGCCUAUCGAUGGUUCGGGCCCGCUUGCCGGCGGUUGCGUGCGUGACACUAAUUCCAGGGCCUAUAGUCUGUGGUGCAGUGGUAGACUAUCCACCUGACCCGUCUUGAAACACGGACCAAGGAGUGUAACAUGUGCGCGAGUCAUUGGGCACUACGAAACCCAAAGGCGCAGUGAAAGUAAAGGUCUGGCCCGCCCAGACUGAGGUGAGAUCCUGCCGUUUCUCACACAUGGUACCACCAAGUUUCGAGCGGCAGGCGCAUCACCGGCCCGUCCCAUGACAACUGUCUUCGGACAUUAUUCAGUCGGGGUGGAGCAUGAGCGUACAUGUUGCGACCCGAAAGAUGGUGAACUAUGCUUGUGCAGGUUGAAGCCAGAGGAAACUCUGGUGGAGGACCGCAGCGGUUCUGACGUGCAAAUCGAUCGCCAGACAUGAGUAUAGGGGCG
Molecule: ribosomal RNA, 1255 nt
Rfam family: Eukaryotic large subunit ribosomal RNA